This 425-nucleotide ribosomal RNA is filed under the name uncultured bacterium. Its description in RNAcentral is "partial 16S ribosomal RNA". It matches the Rfam family "Bacterial small subunit ribosomal RNA", at positions 354 to 796 of the family's 1533-position model. The record is from RNAcentral.
GUGGGGAAUCUUGCGCAAUGGGCGAAAGCCUGACGCAGCCAUGCCGCGUGGAUGAUGAAGGUCUUAGGAUUGUAAAAUCCUUUCACCGGUGAAGAUAAUGACGGUAGCCGAGAAGGAAGCCCCGGCUAACUACGUGCCAGCAGCCGCGGUAAUACGUAGGGGGCAAGCGUUGUCCGGAAUGAUUGGGCGUAAAGGGCGCGUAGGCGGACAGUUUAGUCAGAGGUGAAAGCCCAGGGCUCAACCUUGGAAUUGCCUUUGAUACUGGCUGUCUUGAGUACGGGAGAGGUGAGUGGAACUCCGAGUGUAGAGGUGAAAUUCGUAGAUAUUCGGAAGAACACCAGUGGCGAAGGCGACUCACUGGCCCGUUACUGACGCUGAGGCGCGAAAGCGUGGGGAGCAAACAGGAUUAGAAACCCCAGUAGUCC